RNAcentral lists this ribosomal RNA (782 nucleotides) under Planktothricoides raciborskii. RNAcentral's name for it is "bacterial SSU rRNA". It matches the Rfam family "Bacterial small subunit ribosomal RNA", at positions 1 to 831 of the family's 1533-position model. Lineage: Bacteria; Bacillati; Cyanobacteriota; Cyanophyceae; Oscillatoriales; Oscillatoriaceae. The record is from RNAcentral.
UAGAGUUUGAUCUCGGUUCAGGAGGAACGCUGGCGUGUUGGCUACACACGUGCAAGUCGAACGGAUUCAUUGGGGAUUUAGUGGCGGACGGGUGAGUACACACGUGAGAAUCUACACACAGGAUAGUAACAACAGCGGGAAACUGUUGUUAAUACCCAAUGGCCGAAAGGUAAAAGAUUUAUCGCCUGGGAAUGAGCUGGCGGCGGAUUAGUUAGUUGGUGGGGUAAUGGCCUACCAAGACGGCGAUCGGUAGCUGUUCUGAGAGGAUGAGCAGCCCCACUGGGACUGAGCCCCGGCCCAGACUCUUACGGGAGGCACCAGUGGGGAAUUUUCCCCAAUGGGCCCAAGCCUGACGGACCAAGACCGCGUGGGGGAGGAAGGUUCUUGGGUUGUAAACCCCUUUUUUCAGGGAAGAAGAUAUGACGGUACCUGAGGAAUCAGCCUCGGCUAACUCCGUGCCAGCAGCCGCGGUAAUACGGAGGAGGCAAGCGUUAUCCGGAAUUAUUGGGCGUAAAGCGUCCGUAGGUGGUGGGGCAAGUCGGCGGUUAAAGACUGGGGCUUAACUCCAGAAAGGCCGUGGAAACUGCACCACUAGAGGGCAGUAGGGGUAGAGGGAAUUCCCGGUGUAGCGGUGAAAUGCGUAGAGAUCGGGAAGAACACCAGUGGCGAAAGCGCUCUACUGGACUGCAACUGACACUCAGGGACGAAAGCUAGGGGAGCGAAUGGGAUUAGAUACCCCAGUAGUCCUAGCCGUAAACGAUGGAUUAACUUCGGGUGUGGCC